Molecule: ribosomal RNA, 253 nt
Filed under: uncultured archaeon
Lineage: Archaea
Description: partial 16S ribosomal RNA
Rfam family: Archaeal small subunit ribosomal RNA
Source: RNAcentral
CCCCGGCGCCACGAGUGGUCAUCACGAUUAUUGGGCCUAAAGCGUUCGUAGCCGGUUUGGUAAAUCUCUUGUGAAAUUGUUCGGCUUAACCGGACAGCGUGCAGGAGACACUACCAGACUCGAGACCGGGAGGCGCAAGAAGUAUGGCAUGGGGACUGGUAAAAUGGGAUAAUCCAUGCUAGACUACCGAUGGCGAAGGCAUCUUGCGAGAACGGAUCUGACGGUGAGGAACGAAAGCUAGGGGAGCGAACCG